UACGUAGGGUGCAAGCGUUGCCCGGAUUUAUUGGGCGUAAAGGGCGCGCAGGCGGCCCGGCGCGUCCGCGGUGAAAGCUCCCGGCUCAACUGGGAGAGGUCCGCGGAAACGGUCGGGCUCGAGCAAGGUAGGGGGUCGUGGAAUUCCCGGUGUAGUGGUGGAAUGCGUAGAGAUCGGGAGGAACACCAGUGGCGAAGGCGGCGACCUGGACCUGUGCUGACGCUGCGGCGCGAAAGCGUGGGGAGCGAUCCGG
This 253-nucleotide ribosomal RNA is filed under the name uncultured bacterium. RNAcentral describes it as "partial 16S ribosomal RNA". It matches the Rfam family "Bacterial small subunit ribosomal RNA", at positions 524 to 776 of the family's 1533-position model. The record is from RNAcentral.